CAUGGAGGGCCGAACCGACCUCCGUUGAAAAGGCGGCGGAUGAAUUGUGGGUAGCGGAGAAAUUCCAAUCGAACCCGGAGAUAGCUGGUUCUCCCCGAAAUAGUUUUAGGACUAGCCUCAUUUUAGAUACCCGGAGGUAAAGCACUGAAUAGCCUAGCGGCCGAGAGGUUAGCGAAGCUUAUCAAACUCAGAAUGCCGGAGUAUUGGUGAAUGGGAGUCAGACAGUGUCAGAUAAAUGUCAUUGUCAAAAGGGAAACAGCCCAGAUCUACAGCUAAGGUCCCAAAGUCAGGUCAAGUGGAAAACGAUGUGAAGAUACGCAGACAACCAGGAUGUUGGCUCAGAAGCAGCCACUCAUUUAAAGAGUGCGUAAUAGCUCACUGGUCGAGCGUCUUUGCGCGGAGAAUUUAACGGGGCUAAACCUGACACCGAAGCUUAGGCAGCAUCGCAAGAUGCUGGGUAGGGGAGCGUUGUAUACGCGGAGAAACAGUAGCGCAAGCGGCUGUGGAGUGUAUAGAAGUGAGAAUGCCGGAAUGAGUAGCGCGAAUGCAGUGAGAAUCUGCAUGGCCGAAAGCCUCAGGUUUUUGGAGGAAGGUUCGUCCGCUCCAAGUUAGUCGGGAGCUAAGGUGAGGCCGGAAGGCGUAGCCGAUGCACAGACGGUGGAGAUUCCGUCACCACCAAAAGAGUUAAGCAUGGGGACACAUCUGAAGUGUCGGAGCCGGGAGUUGGUUCCGGUAGAGAUCGAGGGAAAUAAGUACCGAAGUCCGGCAUGGAAGGUGGCGAGAAAAGCCAUGUGUAUUUCUGAGGUGCCCGUACCGCAAACCGACACAGGUAGGUAGGAAGAAGAUUCUAAGGCCAACGGGAGAAGGGUUGUUAAGGAACUCGGCAAAUUGACCCCGUAACUUCGGGAGAAGGGGUGCUGCAGAGAUGCAGCCGCAGGGAAACGGCCCAAGCAACUGUUUACCAAAAACACAGGUUUGUGCUAAAUCGAAAGAUGACGUAUACGAGCUGACGCCUGCCCGGUGCUGGAAGGUUAAGAGGAGAUGUGAGAGCAUUGAAUUGAAGCCCCAGUGAACGGCGGCCGUAACUAUAACGGUCCUAAGGUAGCGAAAUUCCUUGUCAGGUAAGUUCUGACCCGCAUGAAAGGCGUAAUGAUUUGGGCACUGUCUCAACAGCCCGCCCGGCGAAAUUGUAGUACCGGUGAAGAUGCCGGUUACCCGCGACAAGACGGAAAGACCCCAUGGAGCUUUACUGUAGCCUGAUAUUGGGUUUCGAUGUUGUAUGCACAGGAUAGAUGGGACACUGGGAAGCAAGUGCUUUGGCAUUUGUGGAGUGGACGUUGGGAUACCAUCCUUAUGAUAUUGGAAUUCUAACCAGCAGCCCUGAAGCGGGCUGGGGGACAUUGUCAGGUGGGCAGUUUGACUGGGGCGGUCGCCUCCAAAAGAGUAACGGAGGCGUUCAAAGGUUCGCUCGGCUUGAACGGAAAUCAAGCGAGAGAGUGCAAACGCAGAAGCGAGCCUGACUGCGAGACUGACGGGUCGAGCAGGAACGAAAGUUGGAGUUAGUGAUCCGGUGGUAUGUGAGUGGAAAUGCCAUCGCUCAACGGAUAAAAGUUACCCUGGGGAUAACAGGCUGAUCUCCCCCAAGAGUCCACAUCGACGGGGAGGUUUGGCACCUCGAUGUCGGCUCAUCGCAUCCUGGGGCUGAAUUCGGUCCCAAGGGUUUGGCUGUUCGCCAAUUAAAGCGGUACGCGAGCUGGGUUCAGAACGUCGUGAGACAGUUCGGUCCCUAUCUGUCGUGGGCGCAGGAUAUUUGAUGGGAGCUGUCCCUAGUACGAGAGGACCGGGACGGACGAACCUCUGGCGCACCAGUUGUUCCGCCAGGAGCACAGCUGGGCAACUAUGUUCGGAUCGGAUAAACGCUGAAAGCAUCUAAGCGUGAAGCCGGCCCAAAGAUAAGAUAUCCCACUAAGUAAUUAGGUAAGAUCCCUUGAAGACUACAAGGUAGAUAGGCACGAUGUGUAAGUGGAGCGAUCCAUUCAGCAGGCGUGUACUAAUCGAUCGAGGGCUUGACCAG
This 2074-nucleotide ribosomal RNA is filed under the name metagenome. RNAcentral's name for it is "bacterial LSU rRNA". It matches the Rfam family "Bacterial large subunit ribosomal RNA", at positions 765 to 2925 of the family's 2925-position model. The record is from RNAcentral.